UACAGAGGUCUCGAGCGUUAGGCGGAAUCACUGGGCUUAAAGCGUGUGUAGGCGGGCCCGUAAGUGUCUUGUGAAAUCCCACGGCUCAACCGUGGAACUGCUGGGCAUACUGCGGGUCUUGGGCCAACUAGGGGCAGCCGGAACAAGCGGUGGAGCGGUGAAAUGCGUAGAUAUCGCUUGGAACGCCGAAGGUGAAAACAAGCUGCUGGGGUUGCGCCGACGCUGAGACACGAAAGCCAGGGGAGCAAACGGG
RNAcentral lists this ribosomal RNA (253 nucleotides) under uncultured bacterium. Its description in RNAcentral is "partial 16S ribosomal RNA". It matches the Rfam family "Bacterial small subunit ribosomal RNA", at positions 524 to 776 of the family's 1533-position model. The record is from RNAcentral.